GGGUAACCUGCCCUAUGCUGGAUAAUAACCUCGGGAAACUGAGAAUAAUGAUCCAUAGUUCACUACGCCUGGAACGGUGAGUGGAUGAAAGCUCCAGCGGCAUAGGAUGGGCCUGCGGCGUAUCAGGUUGUAGGGGGUGUAACGUACCCUCUAGCCCUCUACGCGUACGGGUGUUGGGAGACAUAGCCCGGAGAUGGAUUCUGAGACACGAAUCCAGACCCUACGGGGUGCAGCAGGCGCGAAAACUUGGCAAUGCGAGAAAUCGUGACCAGGGAACUCCAAGUGCAUCGGGUAAGACUGGUGCUUUUCUUGACUCUAAAUAGGUCUUGGAAUAAGGGGUGGGUAAGGACGGUGCCAGCCGCCGCGGUAAUACCGGCGCCUCAAGUGGUAGUCGCUUUUAUUGGGCCUAAAACGUCCGUAGCCGGUCUGAUACAUUCGUGGGUAAAUCAACCAGCUCAACUGGUUGAAUUCUGCGAGGACGGUCAGACUUGGGACCGGGAGAGGUGUGGGGUACGCUCAGGGUAGGGGUAAAAUCCUGUCAUCCUGAGCGGACCACCUGUUGCGAAGGCGCCACACUAGAACGGAUCCGACGGUCAGGGACGAAGCCUAGGGGCACGAACCGGAUUAGAUACCCGGGUAGUCCUAGGUGUAAACGCUGUGGACUUGAUGUUGGGGGUGCUCCGAGCACUCUCAGUGUC
This 698-nucleotide ribosomal RNA is filed under the name uncultured marine archaeon. RNAcentral describes it as "bacterial SSU rRNA". It matches the Rfam family "Archaeal small subunit ribosomal RNA", at positions 102 to 802 of the family's 1478-position model. The record is from RNAcentral.